This is a long non-coding RNA of Alligator sinensis (Chinese alligator), 285 nucleotides long. RefSeq lists it as uncharacterized. The transcript is spliced from 2 exons. The record is from RefSeq and is a predicted model, not a curated record. Lineage: Eukaryota; Metazoa; Chordata; Crocodylia; Alligatoridae.
CUGAGGGGCAGGAUGGAGAUUACCCACAGAUGGCUUGUCCCAAGGAGCAGCAGGCAGGACUCUGAGCGGAAGCCUGGUGCCAUUGCUGCAGGGCCAUUUCCCGUACCCGGAUCCCGCAGCCUGGACCGACGAGGAGCUGGGCAUCCCCCCUGAUGACGAAGAGUAGACAGGGGCAGCCAGGGCAGGCGAGGCCCCUUGGUGAGGAAUCUCAGAAGCUGACAGUUUUGCUCUUGCAUUACCGUUUCAGUAAACUAUAACUAUAAAUAAAAUUAAAUUUUAAAUGUA